Molecule: long non-coding RNA, 489 nt
Organism: Cavia porcellus (domestic guinea pig)
Lineage: Eukaryota; Metazoa; Chordata; Mammalia; Rodentia; Caviidae
Exons: 3
Source: RefSeq, a predicted model, not a curated record
AGUCACAGGCACUUCUUGAGACCUGGGACAGAGGACUGCUCUCUGAUCACCUCUGGUUACACUGUCUGGCUCCAGGAACUGUGACUCCCAGCCAUGAGGACCCUUGCCCUCCUCAUUGCCUGUCUCCUGCUGGCCCUGCUGGCCCAGGCUGAGCAUCACCCACGAGGAGAUAACGAAGCUGACUCUGAAAUAGAGGGCAAGGGAGAGGAACAUGUUGCUGUUCUCUCAUUUCCAGAGGAGGAAAGCAACAGUCUUCCAGAUGCAGGUGUCUGGCCACUACGCCGCCCACGCUGCUUUUGCAGACUACACUGCCGUUGUUGAGAACUCACCGUAGGUUUCUGCCCUGAAUCGAAUCUGCAGAUCGUGUUUCUGCUAACUAUCCAAGAAAAAAAAUCAUAGUAUUCUUUGAGGCCUAGAAGAGAAUUGCUGCUUUCUCUGAGCUAUGUCUUCCUUUUUUCUUUUUCCCUAAAUAAAUUGCUGUGAAAUUGC